RNAcentral lists this ribosomal RNA (314 nucleotides) under Hydrozoa environmental sample. RNAcentral describes it as "bacterial SSU rRNA". It matches the Rfam family "Eukaryotic small subunit ribosomal RNA", at positions 1140 to 1476 of the family's 1831-position model. The record is from RNAcentral. Lineage: Eukaryota; Metazoa; Cnidaria; Hydrozoa.
AAACUUAAAGGAAUUGACGGAAAGGCACCACCAGGCGUGGAGCUUGCGGCUCAAUUUGACUCAACACGGGAAAUCUCACCAGACCCGAACAUCUCUAACGAUUGACAGAUUGAAAGCUCUUUCUUAAUGAAGUGGAUGGUGGUGCAUGGCCGUUCUUAGUUGGUGGAGUGAUCUGUCUGGUUAAUUCCGAUAACGAACGAGACCUUAACCUGCUAAAUAGUGACGCAAUUCUCGAAUUGUGACUCACUUCUUAGAGGGACUGUUGGUGUUUAACCAAAGUCAGGAAGGCAAUAACAGGUCUGUGAUGCCCUUAG